Molecule: unclassified non-coding RNA, 293 nt
Filed under: Hevea brasiliensis (rubber tree)
Lineage: Eukaryota; Viridiplantae; Streptophyta; Magnoliopsida; Malpighiales; Euphorbiaceae
Source: RNAcentral
AGCUCCUUUCUGGGCAUCGUCCAGGUAAAUCCAAAUCUGCAUUAUUAAUAAAUUAGAAUUAACAAAAGGUUUUGCUACAAAUCACCCAAACACCAUUUUAAGUCUUAAGUCUUCGGUGUCGUUUUAUUAAUAUUCGAGAAAGGGAGGACCACGGUGGCUCGCCGCCUCCCGAAAUUGAAGGAGACGUGGUCUACGCCAAAUCGCUAAAUUAGAUUUGCACGAAACUAAAGGACAUAGCAAAGAUAGACGCUUGAUAUUUGCGAUUUAUAUGGUUACCACAUAAAGUCCUUGGU